UUAUAAGCAUUACACAUGACUCUCUAUUUAUUCUUAUCGAUUUAUAUCCUAUUAACAAUAGUUUCAUCUUGAGAUGCCAUUUCUGCCGAUAUCAACGAGAGCACUAAGGAUCCCCUCUAAAAUAUGAAUACAUUAUAGUUCAGUUCAUAUUUUAUAGUUUGCAGUAUACAAUAUUCAGUUUACAAUUUCACAGUACUUGUCGCUUUGCCACGUCUGGCUAAAGUUGUAUCCAUGGGUAGGGUUCACCACAGUCACACGACAAAAGGAUAUACACACACACACCCCUCGGUG
RNAcentral lists this long non-coding RNA (291 nucleotides) under Carica papaya (papaya). RNAcentral describes it as "long non-coding RNA (CPAP_LNC011938)". Lineage: Eukaryota; Viridiplantae; Streptophyta; Magnoliopsida; Brassicales; Caricaceae. The record is from RNAcentral.